This 516-nucleotide unclassified non-coding RNA is filed under the name Hevea brasiliensis (rubber tree). The record is from RNAcentral. Lineage: Eukaryota; Viridiplantae; Streptophyta; Magnoliopsida; Malpighiales; Euphorbiaceae.
UAAUCAAGCUCUUCAAUCAUUCUUAAUAUUCUUCUUCUGUUCUAUUUUUCACAACUUGAACCAACGGAUUUUUGCAGCAGGAAAGUCGAAUAGCACUUCUAACAAUAGAGAUAAGUGGAUCAGCAAUUGGAGAAGGGCUGAGGAGGGUCAGAUGCCAGAGUAAUAUGGAAAACUUGCAGGUCUAGAUUCGGGUUAAGAUCCGACUCAGUCAGAUCUUCUUUUCUGGGAAAUUUAGAUCUUCUUUUCUGGGAAAUUGCAAGUGAUCGGAAAGGCACCGGAAGAUGUUGCUGUUGGAUUGGCGAUGGUGGUACUUUGGUUUGAUGGCCAGACCAUAGUGUAUGGUGAGGGGCGGGAUUGCCCGCUAGGUUGCGAUGUUUCUCAAAUCUUUCUAUUUUAUGUUUGAUUUUUUUUUAAACGUUAAACAAGGUAGAAAAUUUUGGACAAAGAAUGGAGGAAAAUUUUCAAGGCACAAUGGAAGGACUGAAAGUUUGCGGAAGCUUAUGAAAAUUUGGAUUG